GUAACAAGGUCUCCGUAGGUGAACCUGCGGAGGGAUCAUUACACAAAUAUGAAGGCGGGCUGGAACCUCUCGGGGUUACAGCCUUGAUGAAUUAUUCACCCUUGUCUUUUGCGUACUUCUUGUUUCCUUGGUGGGUUCGCCCACCACUAGGACAAACAUAAACCUUUUGUAAUUGCAAUCAGCGUCAGUAACAAAUUAAUAAUUACAACUUUCAACAACGGAUCUCUUGGUUCUGGCAUCGAUGAAGAACGCAGCGAAAUGCGAUAAGUAGUGUGAAUUGCAGAAUUCAGUGAAUCAUCGAAUCUUUGAACGCACAUUGCGCCCUUUGGUAUUCCAAAGGGCAUGCCUGUUCGAGCGUCAUUUGUACCCUCAAGCUUUGCUUGGUGUUGGGCGUCUUGUCUCUAGCUUUGCUGGAGACUCGCCUUAAAGUAAUUGGCAGCCGGCCUACUGGUUUCGGAGCGCAGCACAAGUCGCACUCUCUAUCAGCAAAGGUCUAGCAUCCAUUAAGCCUUUUUCAACUUUGACCUCGGAUCAGGUAGG
Molecule: ribosomal RNA, 540 nt
Filed under: Alternaria sp. FL-2010f
Lineage: Eukaryota; Fungi; Ascomycota; Dothideomycetes; Pleosporales; Pleosporaceae
Description: eukaryotic LSU rRNA
Rfam family: 5.8S ribosomal RNA (bases 207-360)
Source: RNAcentral